GCAAUAUCUUAAAAUUUUCUUUGUACCACUGGGUUAUAGUAGGAGGCUUUUCAAUAAUCCAGGCAAUAAAUAGCAAUUUACUUAACUAUGGGGCUAUAAUAGCCCCAUACUGUUUGCCUUAUAGAAAGCAUGAUCGGUAAUUCUUUUAAUUUAGACAGUUUGUGAUGAAGUUACCCAGAUAGUAAAAAACAUCAGCGGCAAACGCCUUUUUCCCCCACUUUUUUUUUUUUUUCCUGCUGGACGGCACCGCUUCUCUAAGAUAAGCACUGUAUUUGUUUCUGUUAAAUAUGCUUCAUUCAUGCCGUUACCAGUUCCGUAAAAUUAUUCUGGUAGGAUAUAACGAAGGUAAUUGCUUUAUUUGUAGUUUUUAUUCAGAAAUGUGAGAUUGUGGCGGUGGAGUUAGCUUAGAGAACAUUAGCUACCUGCAUAUUAGCUAACAUAGAGGGUAGCACUGAGGUUAAAACUUAAAAAAGCCCCUCGGAUUUAUUUCGGUGGGGCAGAUGAGGUGGUUUGGUUACCUGUCCCGGUAUAGUUGAUGUUACUCCGGGCUGAUUUUAUUGACCCUCUCCAGAACUGACUGCAGAUAAAGUUAAACAGGUGGCUCUCAGCUGUUCAGUUGUUGUUAUUUCAGUGUCUGAGUCCCAGUUAUGGCAUACAGUUGAUUAUAUUUUGGCCAUAAAAUCAUCCUGAAUGAGUUACUAACAGCUUAUUUUGAAACACAUCCUUCAUUUACAGGCAGCUGAUACUCAGUUACAUGGUGUUAAAGAAAAUGUAAAUCCCAUGAUUCUUCAACAGGUUCUCAGUCGGACUUUCCCCUCUGAUUUAGACACUGAAGAAAAUUUUUUUACAGAAAUGUAGUGAUUUAAAUCAGCAAACUCAUCCUCUGAAUGCUUCAUCACACUGUUUGAGCUGUCAAAGUUGGGACUGAGAAAUCAGAGGAGAGAAAACGAGAAACAGGAAAAAUAUACAAACAACGUGAGACCGGAGCAGACAGGAUGUUUCAGGAAGCCAACACAUCUCAUACAUUCACAUUAUCGUGGUACAUGAGGUUUUCCUUGUACAUGUACUGCAAUACAAUAAUGAGAAUAUGCAAUAUAAUAGCAGUUAGUGAGGCAGUUGAAGAAAUUUGGUGUAAAUUUCUAUGAAACUAUGUAAUUUCAUUGUGGAUCAAAUACAUUAAAGUUUCCUA
This is a long non-coding RNA of Archocentrus centrarchus (flier cichlid), 1189 nucleotides long. RefSeq lists it as uncharacterized. The transcript has 3 exons. Lineage: Eukaryota; Metazoa; Chordata; Actinopteri; Cichliformes; Cichlidae. The record is from RefSeq and is a predicted model, not a curated record.